GUGGGGAAUAUUGGGCAAUGGGGGCAACCCUGACCCAGCGACGCCGCGUGAGGGAAGACGGCCUUCGGGUUGUAAACCUCUUUUGUACGGGAAGAAGGAAGUGACGGUACUGUACGAAUAAGUCCCGGCUAACUACGUGCCAGCAGCCGCGGUAAUACGUAGGGGACGAGCGUUGUCCGGAAUUACUGGGCGUAAAGGGCGCGCAGGCUGUGCUGCAAGUCAGCUGUGAAAUGUCUGGGCUUAACCCGGGCAUGCGGUUGAGACUGCAGUGCUGGAGUGCUGUAGAGGCAAGUGGAAUUCCCAGUGUAGCGGUGAAAUGCGUAGAUAUUGGGAAGAACACCGGUGGCGAAGGCGACUUGCUGGGCAGCAACUGACGCUGAGGCGCGAAAGCCAGGGGAGCAAACGGGAUUAGAAACCCCUGUAGUCC
Molecule: ribosomal RNA, 427 nt
Filed under: uncultured bacterium
Lineage: Bacteria
Description: partial 16S ribosomal RNA
Rfam family: Bacterial small subunit ribosomal RNA
Source: RNAcentral